CCUACGGGCGGCAGCAGUGGGGAAUAUUGGACAAUGGGCGAAAGCCUGAUCCAGCCAUGCCGCGUGUGUGAAGAAGGCCUUCGGGUUGUAAAGCACUUUCAGUGGGGAAGAAAGCCUUGGGGCUAAUACCCUCGAGGAAGGACAUCACCCACAGAAGAAGCACCGGCUAACUCCGUGCCAGCAGCCGCGGUAAUACGGAGGGUGCGAGCGUUAAUCGGAAUUACUGGGCGUAAAGCGCGCGUAGGCGGUCUGAUAAGCCGGUUGUGAAAGCCCCGGGCUCAACCUGGGAACGGCAUCCGGAACUGUCAGGCUAGAGUUCAGGGGAGGAAGGUAGAAUUCCCGGUGUAGCGGUGAAAUGCGUAGAGAUCGGGAGGAAUACCAGUGGCGAAGGCGGGCUUCUGGACUGUCACUGACGCUGAGGUGCGAAAGCGUGGGUAGCAAACAGGAUUAGAUACCCUGGUAGUC
RNAcentral lists this ribosomal RNA (465 nucleotides) under Vreelandella stevensii. RNAcentral describes it as "partial 16S ribosomal RNA". It matches the Rfam family "Bacterial small subunit ribosomal RNA", at positions 338 to 795 of the family's 1533-position model. The record is from RNAcentral. Lineage: Bacteria; Pseudomonadati; Pseudomonadota; Gammaproteobacteria; Oceanospirillales; Halomonadaceae.